GACGAACGCUGGCGGCGUGCUUAACACAUGCAAGUCGAACGGGAGUAUUGAAGAAGCUUGCUUUAGAGAUACUUUAGUGGCGGACGGGUGAGUAACGCGUGAGGAGCUGUCCAAUGCAGGGGGACAACAGUUGGAAACGACUGCUAAUACCCCAUAAGCCGAGAGGUAAAAGGAUUUAUCCGGCAGAGGAGGUACUCGCGUCCUAUCAGCUAGUAGGUGAGGUAACGGCUCACCUAGGCGAAGACGGGUAGCCGGCCUGAGAGGGCGAACGGCCACACUGGAACUGAGAUACGGUCCAGACUCCUACGGGAGGCAGCAGUGGGGAAUAUUGGGCAAUGGGGGGAACCCUGACCCAGCGACGCCGC
Molecule: ribosomal RNA, 365 nt
Filed under: uncultured bacterium
Lineage: Bacteria
Description: bacterial SSU rRNA
Rfam family: Bacterial small subunit ribosomal RNA
Source: RNAcentral